GACGAACCGUGCGAACGUUGUUCGGAAUCACUGGGCUUAAAGGGCGCGUAGGCGGGCGAUCAAGUCCGGGGUGAAAUCUUUCGGCUUAACCGGAAAAGGGCCUUGGAUACUGAUCGUCUCGAGGGUGGCAGGGGCAUGUGGAACUUCCGGUGGAGCGGUGAAAUGCGUUGAUAUCGGAAGGAACGCCGGUGGCGAAAGCGACGUGCUGGACCACUUCUGACGCUGAGGCGCGAAAGCCAGGGGAGCAAACGGG
This 253-nucleotide ribosomal RNA is filed under the name uncultured bacterium. RNAcentral describes it as "partial 16S ribosomal RNA". It matches the Rfam family "Bacterial small subunit ribosomal RNA", at positions 524 to 776 of the family's 1533-position model. The record is from RNAcentral.